This is a long non-coding RNA of Oncorhynchus keta (chum salmon), 839 nucleotides long. RefSeq lists it as uncharacterized. The record is from RefSeq and is a predicted model, not a curated record. NCBI's taxonomy places the organism in Eukaryota, Metazoa, Chordata, Actinopteri, Salmoniformes, Salmonidae. The transcript has 3 exons.
AAUACCACUAGCCAUUUCAAUCACUUCUGCUUUACUAUAGGGUCACUCGAUGUUAGUCGGUUUAACACUGGUUUCAAUCACUUCUGCUUUAUUAUAGGGUCACUAGAUGUUAGUCGGUUUAACACUGGUUUCAAUCACUUCUGCUUUAUUAUAGAGUCACUAGAUGUUAGUAGGUUUAACACUGGUUUCAAUCACUUCUGCUUUAUUAUAGGGUCACUAGAUGUUAGUAGGUUUAACACUGGUUUCAAUCACUUCUGCUUUAUUAUAGAGUCACUAGAUGUUAGUAGGUUUAACACUGGUUUCAAUCACUUCUGCUUUAUUAUAGAGUCACUAGAUGUUAGUAGGUUUAACACUGGUUUCAAUCACUUCUGCUUUAUUAUAGAGUCACUAGAUGUUAGUAGGUUUAACACAGGUUUCAAUCACUUGUAGUUUAUUAUAGAGUCACUAGAUGUUAGUAGGUUUAACACAGGUUGCAUCUCAAAUGGUACUCUAUAUUAAACUACUUUGGACAAGGGCUCUGGACAAAGGCCGUCACUAGGUAAUAUGCUGCAAUUUGGGACGCACUCACAAUGUUGCACCUUUGGGUGGAAUUGUAAUCCAUGUCCUGGGUUUGAAAGGUAAUAUAAAGUAAUAGAAAAGAUUUAUUUGUAAAAUAAAUGAACAUGUUAGUGUAGCAGUGUGUUCUGCCGAACAGACUGAAUUGAGUGGCUUCAUCAGUGUCGUCCUUCUAACUCAACCGCGUUGCCAUGAACUAGUGCAGACGAGGUCGCCACGCUGUCUGACGUGAGACUGUGGUGGUGGAAUGUGCUACAUCUAUGACAUCACGUGUCUCUCUCUCU